RNAcentral lists this ribosomal RNA (460 nucleotides) under uncultured bacterium. RNAcentral's name for it is "partial 16S ribosomal RNA". It matches the Rfam family "Bacterial small subunit ribosomal RNA", at positions 338 to 795 of the family's 1533-position model. The record is from RNAcentral.
CCUACGGGGGGCAGCAGUGGGGAAUAUUGCGCAAUGGGCGCGAGCCUGAACCAGCCAAGUAGCGUGAAGGAUGACUGCCCUACGGGUUGUAAACUUCUUUUAUAAAGGAAUAAAGUGAGGCACGUGUGCCUUUUUGUAUGUACUUUAUGAAUAAGGAUCGGCUAACUCCGUGCCAGCAGCCGCGGUAAUACGGAGGAUCCGAGCGUUAUCCGGAUUUAUUGGGUUUAAAGGGAGCGUAGAUGGGUUGUUAAGUCAGUUGUGAAAGUUUGCGGCUCAACCGUAAAAUUGCAAUUGAUACUGGCAGCCUUGAGUACAGUUGAGGUAGGCGGAAUUCGUGGUGUAGCGGUGAAAUGCUUAGAUAUCACGAAGAACUCCGAUUGCGAAGGCAGCUUACUAGACUGACACUGACAUUGAGGCUCGAAAGUGUGGGUAUCAAACAGGAUUAGAUACCCGAGUAGUC